RNAcentral lists this ribosomal RNA (497 nucleotides) under uncultured bacterium. RNAcentral describes it as "partial 16S ribosomal RNA". It matches the Rfam family "Bacterial small subunit ribosomal RNA", at positions 28 to 507 of the family's 1533-position model. The record is from RNAcentral.
GAUGAACGCUGGCGGCGUGCCUAAUACAUGCAAGUCGAGCGAACAGAUGAGGAGCUUGCUCCUCUGACGUUAGCGGCGGACGGGUGAGUAACACGUGGAUAACCUACCUAUAAGACUGGGAUAACUUCGGGAAACCGGAGCUAAUACCGGAUAAUAUAUUGAACCGCAUGGUUCAAUAGUGAAAGACGGUUUUGCUGUCACUUAUAGAUGGAUCCGCGCCGCAUUAGCUAGUUGGUAAGGUAACGGCUUACCAAGGCAACGAUGCGUAGCCGACCUGAGAGGGUGAUCGGCCACACUGGAACUGAGACACGGUCCAGACUCCUACGGGAGGCAGCAGUAGGGAAUCUUCCGCAAUGGGCGAAAGCUUGACGGAGCAACGCCGCGUGAGUGAUGAAGGUCUUCGGAUUGUAAAACUCUGUUAUUAGGGAAGAACAAAUGUGUAAGUAACUAUGCACGUCUUGACGGUACCUAAUCAGAAAGCCACGGCUAACUACGUG